GAUGAAGAACGUAGCGAAAUGCGAUAAGUAGUGUGAAUUGCAGAAUUCAGUGAAUCAUCGAAUCUUUGAACGCACAUUGCGCCCCAUGGUAUUCCGUGGGGCAUGCCUGUUCGAGCGUCAUUUACCCCCUCAAGCUCCGCUUGGUGUUGGGCGUCUGUCCCGCUUCGCGCGCGGACUCGCCCCAAAGGUAUUGGCAGCGGUCGUGCCAGCUUCUCGCGCAGCACAUUGCGCUUCUCGAGGCACCGGCGGGCCCGCGUCCAUCAAGCUCCCCCCCCCCAGUUUGACCUCGGAUCAGGUAGGGAUACCCGCUGAACUUAAGCAUAUCAAUAAGCGGGGA
This 337-nucleotide unclassified non-coding RNA is filed under the name soil metagenome. Its description in RNAcentral is "partial contains 5.8S ribosomal RNA, internal transcribed spacer 2, and large subunit ribosomal RNA". The stretch from base 1 to 120 matches the Rfam family "5.8S ribosomal RNA", at positions 35 to 154 of the family's 154-position model. The record is from RNAcentral.